This 253-nucleotide ribosomal RNA is filed under the name uncultured bacterium. Its description in RNAcentral is "partial 16S ribosomal RNA". It matches the Rfam family "Bacterial small subunit ribosomal RNA", at positions 524 to 776 of the family's 1533-position model. The record is from RNAcentral.
UACGGAGGGGGCUAGCGUUGUUCGGAAUUACUGGGCGUAAAGCGCACGUAGGCGGCUUUGCAAGUCAGAGGUGAAAGCCCGGGGCUCAACCCCGGAAUUGCCUUUGAGACUGCAUCGCUAGAAUUGUGGAGAGGUAAGUGGAAUUCCGAGUGUAGAGGUGAAAUUCGUAGAUAUUCGGAAGGACACCAGUGGCGAAGGCGACUUGCUGGACACAUAUUGACGCUGAGGUGCGAAAGCGUGGGGAGCAAACAGG